RNAcentral lists this ribosomal RNA (253 nucleotides) under uncultured bacterium. RNAcentral describes it as "partial 16S ribosomal RNA". It matches the Rfam family "Bacterial small subunit ribosomal RNA", at positions 524 to 776 of the family's 1533-position model. The record is from RNAcentral.
GACAGAGGAUGCAAGCGUUAUCCGGAAUGAUUGGGCGUAAAGCGUCUGUAGGUGGCUUUUUAAGUCCGCCGUCAAAUCCCAGGGCUCAACCCUGGACAGGCGGUGGAAACUACCAAGCUGGAGUACGGUAGGGGCAGAGGGAAUUUCCGGUGGAGCGGUGAAAUGCGUAGAUAUUGGAAAGACCACCAAUGGCGAAGGCACUCUACUGGGCCAUUACUGACACUGAGAGACGAAAGCUAGGGGAGCGAAUGGG